This 455-nucleotide ribosomal RNA is filed under the name Coptotermes vastator. RNAcentral's name for it is "partial 16S ribosomal RNA". It matches the Rfam family "Bacterial large subunit ribosomal RNA", at positions 1840 to 2541 of the family's 2925-position model. The record is from RNAcentral. Lineage: Eukaryota; Metazoa; Arthropoda; Insecta; Blattodea; Rhinotermitidae.
UUAGUUUUUGAAGUAUGGCCUGCCCGCUGACAUUUGGUGUUGAAGGGCCGCGGUAUUUUGACCGUGCAAAGGUAGCAUAAUCAUUAGUUCUUUAAUUGUGAUCUGGAAUGAAUGGCUUGACGAGGCACGGGCUGUCUUAGUGUUGAAUGUUUUAUUGAAUUUGGUCUUUGAGUUAAAAUUCUUAGAUGUUUUUGUGGGACGAGAAGACCCUAUAGAGUUUGACAUUUGGUUUAUUUACUUGUUUGUUGUUUGUUUAUUUUUGGUGAGUGGACUUUUUGUUUUGUUGGGGUGAUGGGAGGAAUAUACUUAACUCCUCUUAGUUUUGGUUAUAUUGAUUUAUAAUUGUUUGAUCCAUUUAUUUUGAUUGUAAGACUAAAUUACCUUAGGAUAACAGCGUUAUCUUCCUUGAGAGUUCUUAUCGGCAGGGGGGUUUGCGACCUCGAUGUUGGAUUAAG